RNAcentral lists this ribosomal RNA (793 nucleotides) under uncultured bacterium. RNAcentral describes it as "bacterial SSU rRNA". It matches the Rfam family "Bacterial small subunit ribosomal RNA", at positions 8 to 796 of the family's 1533-position model. The record is from RNAcentral.
AGAGUUUGAUCAUGGCUCAGGAUGAACGCUAGCGGCAGGCUUAAUACAUGCAAGUCGUGGGGCAGCGCGGGUAGCAAUACCUGGCGGCGACCGGCAAACGGGUGCGGAACACGUACGCAACCUUCCUUUAAGUGAGGAAUAGCCCAGGGAAACUUGGAUUAAUACCUCGUAACAUUAUGAGAUGGCAUCAUCUUAUAAUUAUAGCUACGGCGCUUAAAGAUGGGCGUGCGGCUGAUUAGGUAGUUGGCGGGGUAAUAGCCCACCAAGCCUACGAUCAGUAACUGGUGUGAGAGCACGACCAGUCACACGGGCACUGAGACACGGGCCCGACUCCUACGGGAGGCAGCAGUAAGGAAUAUUGGUCAAUGGACGCAAGUCUGAACCAGCCAUGCCGCGUGGAGGAUGAAGGCCCUCUGGGUUGUAAACUUCUUUUAUUUGGGAAGAAACCCAUCUUUUCUAAGGUGGUUGACGGUACCAGAUGAAUAAGCACCGGCUAACUCCGUGCCAGCAGCCGCGGUAAUACGGAGGGUGCAAGCGUUAUCCGGAUUCACUGGGUUUAAAGGGUGCGUAGGUGGGCAGGUAAGUCAGUGGUGAAAUCUCUGGGCUUAACCCAGAAACUGCCGUUGAUACUAUCUGUCUUGAAUAUAGUGGAGGUGAGCGGAAUAUGUCAUGUAGCGGUGAAAUGCUUAGAUAUGACAUAGAACACCCAUUGCGAAGGCAGCUCGCUACACUAUUAUUGACACUGAGGCACGAAAGCGUGGGGAUCAAACAGGAUUAGAUACCCUAGUAGUCC